Molecule: long non-coding RNA, 1757 nt
Organism: Tyto alba (common barn owl)
Lineage: Eukaryota; Metazoa; Chordata; Aves; Strigiformes; Tytonidae
Exons: 3
Source: RefSeq, a predicted model, not a curated record
GGGAGGGAAACGGGGCGGCGAGCGCUCCUCGCUCUAACCGGGAGGGCUCCAGGCCUGCCGCCUCAUAUAAAGCGUCCGCGCCGGCAAACCGAGAGCGGGAUGUUCUGAAGACCUGCUCGCUAGGCCACGCACGGAGGACGCUGGUUCCUCACGGGCCGCGCGCCCGCCUAGGGGAAAGUCCCCGGACCGCUGGCAGAGAGUGCCGGGCGCUGCCCGCGCCCCCGCCCGCCGCCGCCUCACGCACAGCGCCGCCGAGACGCCCCCGGGCCGAGCGGGUGAGCGCGGGGCGGGCCCUCGUCACGGCCACAGACACGCAGGUAGUGCGCAGGCGCACUAACAGAACGGGGCUCACUCUCAGGUCAUCCCCUUUUUUUUUUUUUAUGGGAAGCCGGGAGAGAGGUCUGGCUGCGUCGUCACUUCCCCGGCGCCGCAGAGCUGCUUGCGGUACGGGCAAAGCACGCGUGGGGAGACGCUGCUCCCCUGCCUGGCAGGACGCGGGGUCCCGCACCCCGCCUUCUCCUCCUGCCCACUGGGCUUCAGGGUGCACAGGCUCGGUCUGGGGAGGUGGGGCGCCUGUCCCUGCCCGAAAAGGCUCUUCUUCCCUCCCUGUUCCAGGAAGAAACAAGAGGCCAGAAAGAAGUCUCUUAUCGCGUUCGUUUGCACCACGCAGAAGUUGAACAUCGAUCGGGAUGGCCCACCCGCGCGGCAGCACACGGCGCGCCGACCCCACGCUCCCUCCGGGCGCCCGCUGCGCCCUCCCGCCGCGAGUGCCGCCGCUGCUACCUGCCCACUCGAGGCAGAUGCUCACGCUUACCCUCCCCAAGACGAGGCAGGAUGCUGCUGCCUGCGGCAAUCACGCACUUUGCACUAGAGCACCUUAGCAAUUCAGGCUGGUUUUCUCUCUGCGUGGACAAAAUUCUCUCACUUGUCAUUUAUGGUAAUUCAAGCCUAAUAUUUAAGGAAAAUCAAAAGCAAUGACGUCUGCCAUUACAGGUAAGUAUCUUUUUUGGAUGACCUGAUGUUAGAGAAGUUUUCAAGAAUAGCUUACCUGGACAAAUGCACUACUAUCUCUGUAGCUCUGGCAAGGAUAACCUCUUCAUGGAAUAUCACCUAUGAGAAGGUCAACUAUGGCUGUACUGAUUCUUUCUUUUCUUUAUGUUUCUCUCCUUGGUAUCUUGGAGAAUUCUUUGUCCUCUUCAAACGAAAGCAAAGAAGCAUACCUGCCAAGAAAUACGUAUCGUCAAAACCCAGUUCUGUUCCAUUUGCUUAAAAGAAGCACCCUGUUACCAUCCUUUGAGCAUUUCCACUAAAUGCUAAGUAGGUCUUUCACAAUUACAGCCCCUUAUGGACUUGUCCUCAUCAGUAAUGCUGCUUUUCAUUAUUUUUACCACAGGCUGAAACCCUUCCUGGGCUAUCAGUGGAAAUCUGAAAAAAAAUCUAACCAACCUGGGUAUUAUUAGGUGAAACAGGACAGGAAUCUGCUAUGAUGUGAGGAUGUAAAAUCAGGGUUAUGAAAGAGAGAGAGGCAAAACUGCAAAUGGGGAAAAUAAAUUUUGGAUUAAAUAACUGGAAAUAUUUUAUCAUAGUAAAAUCUAUAAUGUAAUAAAAUAAUCUUUCACAAAAAGAAGGGGAAUACCCUGAUUGGGACUUUUAAAAACUAUGUAGGGAAAUGAAAAAGAAACAAAACUGUUGGGAUCUAUUCUCCAUGAAAAGUGGGGAUAGCUUAGAGACAUAUAAAUAAAUCUAAAUAAAUUGAA